Molecule: ribosomal RNA, 229 nt
Filed under: uncultured bacterium
Lineage: Bacteria
Description: partial 16S ribosomal RNA
Rfam family: Bacterial small subunit ribosomal RNA
Source: RNAcentral
UACGGGGGGGCAAGCGUUGUUCGGAAUUACUGGGCGUAAAGGGCGCGUAGGCGGUUCGCGUAAGUUGAAUGAUGAAACUACUGGGCUAACCCAGAGCCUGCAUUCAAUACUGGCGGGCUAGAGUUCUGGAGGGGAUAGCGGAAUUCCUGGUGUAGGCGGUGAAAUGCGUAGAGUAUCAGGAGGAACACCGGUGGCGAAGGCGGCUAUCUGGACAGAGUCUGACGCUGAG